This 262-nucleotide unclassified non-coding RNA is filed under the name Hevea brasiliensis (rubber tree). Lineage: Eukaryota; Viridiplantae; Streptophyta; Magnoliopsida; Malpighiales; Euphorbiaceae. The record is from RNAcentral.
GCAUUGAAACAGCGAGACGAUGACCUUAGUAGAGAGCUUGAGUUCCUCAAGAACAGAAUCGAUGAACUGGAGCGACAUUCCAAAACACGAGGAUUAAGUAGUAUUUUUAGCAUCAGUCAUGCAGAAAGUACCAAGGAUAAAGUUAAAGCUGGUUGAUCCUCUGCUAGUGUUGUGCUAACAUACAUACACAUUGUAAGACACCCCUCUCCAGUUGAGCAAUAACGACUCAAUCUCUAUUUUUCUCUACUUCUUAUUUCUACUA